UACGUAGGUGGCGAGCGUUAUCCGGAUUUAUUGGGCGUAAAGCGUGCGCAGGCGGCUUGUUAAGUCUAAAAUAAAAGCCCGGAGCUUAACUCCGGUUCGUUUUAGAAACUGGCGAGCUUGAGUAUGGUAGAGGCAAACGGAAUUUCUAGUGUAGCGGUAAAAUGCGUAGAUAUUAGAAGGAACACCAGUGGCGAAGGCGGUUUGCUGGGCCAUUACUGACGCUCAUGCACGAAAGCGUGGGGAGCAAAUAGG
This 252-nucleotide ribosomal RNA is filed under the name uncultured bacterium. RNAcentral describes it as "partial 16S ribosomal RNA". It matches the Rfam family "Bacterial small subunit ribosomal RNA", at positions 524 to 776 of the family's 1533-position model. The record is from RNAcentral.